AACGAACGCUGGCGGCAUGCCUAACACAUGCAAGUCGAACGAUACCUUCGGGUCUAGUGGCGCACGGGUGCGUAACGCGUGGGAACCUGCCCUUAGGUUCGGAAUAACUCCCCGAAAGGGGUGCUAAUACCGGAUAAUGUCUUCGGACCAAAGAUUUAUCGCCUUUGGAUGGGCCCGCGUUGGAUUAGCUAGUUGGUAGGGUAAAAGCCUACCAAGGCGACGAUCCAUAGCUGGUCUGAGAGGAUGAUCAGCCACACUGGGACUGAGACACGGCCCAGACUACUACGGGAGGCAGCAGUGGGGAAUAUAGGAAAAUGGGCGAAAGCCUGAUCCAGCAAUGCCGCGUGAGUGAUGAAGGCCUUAGGGUUGUAAAGCUCUUUUAAACGGGAUGAUAAUGACAGUACCGGGAGAAUAAGCUCCGGCUAACUCCGUG
RNAcentral lists this ribosomal RNA (433 nucleotides) under uncultured bacterium. Its description in RNAcentral is "partial 16S ribosomal RNA". It matches the Rfam family "Bacterial small subunit ribosomal RNA", at positions 29 to 507 of the family's 1533-position model. The record is from RNAcentral.